Pantherophis guttatus is the source of this 393-nucleotide long non-coding RNA. RefSeq lists it as uncharacterized. The record is from RefSeq and is a predicted model, not a curated record. Lineage: Eukaryota; Metazoa; Chordata; Lepidosauria; Squamata; Colubridae.
AUUAUAUUGACAAGCCCGCCAUAAAUUUGUAAAUCAAGAUAAGUAGCAUCAGCAGGGAAAUAUUGCUUGAGAUGCUUUAAGAUGGCUUCCUGUAACACCUGUAGAAAGUGAAAUGAAAUUAUCUUUCAGUGAAAGUAUGACAACAUCCCCCCCCCUUCCUCCACCUCCCAAUCUUUGGCAUUGAUAACUUUCACACAUUCUGGGUAACUGUUUCAAAUUUCCAAAUGUAUUGUGAUUCACCGAAGAGGAAUAAGAAAUAUUUAAACAUUUUAAGUCACUGUUCCUAUCACAGAAUCAACUCUCCCUAAAAUAAGAUUUCCAUAAUUCCUCUGUCCAUGAGCUACAAUUUUGUUUAUUGGAAGAAGUUACACUCAAAUGAAGGGAACAUGGUAA